GGCAAUUCAGUGAGACUGUCUCAAAAUCAAAUGGACAAAGACUUACAUAGACAAGUUCAAAAAAUAAAUCCUCUUUUGCAACCCAGAACUCUGUUGUUCAAUAUGAGUUCUGAUACAUAUAAGCAGGAAUAUU
RNAcentral lists this small nucleolar RNA (133 nucleotides) under Spermophilus dauricus (Daurian ground squirrel). RNAcentral's name for it is "Small nucleolar RNA SNORA40 (ENSSDAG00000015937.1)". It matches the Rfam family "Small nucleolar RNA SNORA40". Rfam says of the family: The snoRNA ACA 40 belongs to the H/ACA family of snoRNAs and guides the pseudouridylation of 28S rRNA subunit at position U4565. NB This family has a high threshold value to exclude a large number of closely related sequences that do not appear to have conserved H and ACA boxes, and may be pseudogenes. The record is from RNAcentral. Lineage: Eukaryota; Metazoa; Chordata; Mammalia; Rodentia; Sciuridae.